Molecule: long non-coding RNA, 333 nt
Filed under: Salvia miltiorrhiza (redroot sage)
Lineage: Eukaryota; Viridiplantae; Streptophyta; Magnoliopsida; Lamiales; Lamiaceae
Description: long non-coding RNA (SMIL_LNC002667)
Source: RNAcentral
AGAAAUGAGAAGAGGUAUCUAUAAUAAAUAAAAAAUUAUUUUUUUAAAUAGAUAAUUUAAAUCACAUAUGCAAUUUUACUUUUAAUAUAUAUAACUAACUAUUCAAUACAAUAUUAAAAAGUUCUAAAAUUCUAAAAUGAAUCAAUAUACUUUGCUAAUUGCAAUGGAAAAAAAAUCAUAUACACAUAAAAAGAAACACAAAUAAAAAUAUUGAAAGUGAAAUAAAAUCAAAAUAGAAAAGAAAACAAAGAAAAAAAACGUGGAUGUGGGGAGAGAGAUAUUAUAGAACAUGAAAAAAAAAACAGUUCUUUUUCAUUAAUUUCAACUUUUAAA